Molecule: ribosomal RNA, 495 nt
Filed under: Aphelenchoides sp. 10 JH-2012
Lineage: Eukaryota; Metazoa; Nematoda; Chromadorea; Rhabditida; Aphelenchoididae
Description: SSU rRNA
Rfam family: Eukaryotic small subunit ribosomal RNA
Source: RNAcentral
CUGCGAACGGCUCAUUACAACAGAUAUAACUUACUUGUUCUACUCCUUUAAACGGAUAACUGCGGUAAUUCUGGAGCCAAUACGUGCUAAAAGCCGAAUUCAGCAAUGAGUUCGGUGCACUUAUCGGAGCAAAACCCUUCCUGGUUUUAUGCUAACUCUGGAUAACACUGCUUAUCGCACGACCUCGUGUCGGCGAAGUUACAUUCAAGUAUCUGCCUUAUCAACUUUCGAUGGUAGUGUAUUGGACUGCCAUGGUGUUGACGGGUAACGGAGAAUCAGGGUUCGACUCCGGAGAGGGAGCCUUAGAAACGGCUACCAUGUCUAAGGACAGCAGCAGGCGCGCAACUUAUCCACUGUUCAUUGAACGAGAUAGUGACGAGAAAUAACAAGUCCGUUCUCUAUGAGGUCGGACAUUGGAAUGGAUGGAAUCUAAACAAUUCCAUGAGUACCCACGAGAGGGCAAGUCUGGUGCCAGCAGCCGCGGUAAUUCCAGCU